RNAcentral lists this ribosomal RNA (468 nucleotides) under uncultured bacterium. RNAcentral describes it as "partial 16S ribosomal RNA". It matches the Rfam family "Bacterial small subunit ribosomal RNA", at positions 28 to 507 of the family's 1533-position model. The record is from RNAcentral.
GACGAACGCUGGCGGCGUGCUUAACACAUGCAAGUCGAACGGAAAGGCCCUGCUUUUGUGGGGUGCUCGAGUGGCGAACGUGUGAGUAACACGUGAGUCACCUGCCCUUGACUUUGGGAUAACUUCAGGAAACUGGGUCUAAUACCGGAUAGGAGCUCCUGCUGCAUGGUGUGGGUUGGAAAGUUUCGGCGGUUGGGGAUGGACUCGCGGCUUAUCAGCUUGUUGGUGGGGUAGUGGCUUACCAAGGCUUUGACGGGUAGCCGGCCUGAGAGGGUGACCGGCCACAUUGGGACUGAGAUACGGCCCAGACUCCUACGGGAGGCAGCAGUGGGGAAUAUUGCACAAUGGGCGGAAGCCGGAUGCAGCAACGCCGCGUGCGGGAUGACGGACUUCGGGUUGUAAACCGCUUUCGCCUGUGACGAAGCGUGAGUGACGGUAAUGGGUAAAGAAGCACCGGCUAACUACGUG